CCUACGGGAGGCAGCAGUGAGGAAUAUUGGUCAAUGGGCGAGAGCCUGAACGAGCCAAGUCGCGUGAAGGAUGAAGGAUCUAUGGUUUGUAAACUUCUUUUAUAUGGGAAUAAAGUGAGGAACGUGUUCCUUUUUGUAUGUACCAUAUGAAUAAGCAUCGGCUAACUCCGUGCCAGCAGCCGCGGUAAUACGGAGGAUGCGAGCGUUAUCCGGAUUUAUUGGGUUUAAAGGGUGCGUAGGUGGUUAAUUAAGUCAGCGGUGAAAGUUUGUGGCUCAACCAUAAAAUUGCCGUUGAAACUGGUUGACUUGAGUAUAUUUGAGGUAGGCGGAAUGCGUGGUGUAGCGGUGAAAUGCAUAGAUAUCACGCAGAACUCCGAUGGCGAAGGCAGCUUACUAAACUAUAACUGACACUGAGGCACGAAAGCGUGGGGAGCAAACAGGAUUAGAUACCCGAGUAGUC
RNAcentral lists this ribosomal RNA (460 nucleotides) under uncultured bacterium. RNAcentral describes it as "partial 16S ribosomal RNA". It matches the Rfam family "Bacterial small subunit ribosomal RNA", at positions 338 to 795 of the family's 1533-position model. The record is from RNAcentral.